RNAcentral lists this small nucleolar RNA (137 nucleotides) under Mus caroli (Ryukyu mouse). The record is from RNAcentral. Lineage: Eukaryota; Metazoa; Chordata; Mammalia; Rodentia; Muridae.
UUGGCCCUGAAUCAAGGCCAGCAGUUGGCUGAAGCUGUUGGUUUCAAGCAGGUGCCUAAAUAAAUGUCUUUCUACCGUCUCUUGGCCAUUUCAGAAAUUUGAAAAUGUAACGGUCAAUUCAUUAGAGAGAAACAUCU